UAGGCUAUUUAAACAUUGGUCGUCCAUAUCAAACGUUGAAAGGGUCAGCCCAGAAUCCAAAAAGUCACUUUUUGACGCCAUUUAAAUGUUCGAUCCCGCCAAUCCGACGUCUAUAAACUAUUCAAACGUUGCCCCCCCUUACCCUGACGCCAAUGGACUGCGAAAAGUGAUUGUUUCAUUGCCAUUAGGAUUUUGUCGAUCAUCCCCGACAUCAAAAUAGGGCUUAGAAGUCGGCCUCCCCCAUCCCGAACGUCUAAAGUGUGCGCCAAAAUUAAAUUUUAAAUGCUUUAAACGUCAGCUAGGCAGGAGAGUAGACGUUUAAAGCCAUUGAGACGUCGGCUAGGGGGAGCUAACGUCUAAUUGCCUGCUAUGACCAAACCCGCGCGUGAGGCAGCAGUUACGCGCACUCACUAUUCAUCAUCUUCCUCGCGUUUUCUCUCCACCGGCUACAUUUUUCAGGUUGAACUAUUUUGGUACUG
RNAcentral lists this long non-coding RNA (479 nucleotides) under Vigna radiata. RNAcentral's name for it is "long non-coding RNA (VRAD_LNC013053)". The record is from RNAcentral. Lineage: Eukaryota; Viridiplantae; Streptophyta; Magnoliopsida; Fabales; Fabaceae.